UAUGUGAUCGUCUCUCGCAUAUCAAUAAGCGGAGGAAAAGAAACUAACAAGGAUUCCCCUAGUAACGGCGAGUGAAGCGGGAAGAGCUCAAAUUUGAAAUCUUAAAGGGUUUCCCUUUACGAAUUGUAGUUUAAAGAAGUGUUUUCUGUUGAGGUUUUGGUAAAAGUUCUUUGGAAUAGGACAUCAUAGAGGGUGAGAAUCCCGUAUUUGACCUUUACUUUCAACUUUGUGAUACACUUUCAAAGAGUCGGAUUGUUUGGGAAUGCAGUCCAAAAUGGGUGGUAAAUUUCAUCUAAAGCUAAAUAUUGGCGAGAGACCGAUAGCGAACAAGUACCGUGAGGGAAAGAUGAAAAGAACUUUGAAAAGAGAGUUAAACAGUACGUGAAAUUGUCAAAAGGGAAGCGUUUGACACCAGUGUUGUUUUUCUGAAAAUCAAUUAAAGAACUGUUUAUGCUAAGCUGUUUAGACUUUAUCAGCUAUCUGUUUAGUUUUGAGCUUUUCUUUAAUGCACUUUUCAGUUAACAAGUCAACAUCAAUUUCUUUUGCUGUAAAAAAGCUUGAGGAAGGUGGCUUGAGAUACGUCUUAAGUGUUUAUAGCCUCUUGCCUAUGCAGUCGGAGAGAUUGAGGUCUGCAGCGUAGAUCCUUCGGGGCUAAAUGCAUUUGUGCUAAGUUAUAGCAUUUUAUAGACAACUUGUUGACUAUGAUUUGUCUUGUAGCUUACUCGCUUAUGUUAUUUUACCUACGCUUAGGAUGUUGAACGCGCACAGAGUCUC
Molecule: ribosomal RNA, 774 nt
Filed under: uncultured Neocallimastigales
Lineage: Eukaryota; Fungi; Neocallimastigomycota; Neocallimastigomycetes; Neocallimastigales
Description: partial large subunit ribosomal RNA
Rfam family: Eukaryotic large subunit ribosomal RNA
Source: RNAcentral